RNAcentral lists this ribosomal RNA (469 nucleotides) under Millepora alcicornis. RNAcentral describes it as "partial large subunit ribosomal RNA". It matches the Rfam family "Bacterial large subunit ribosomal RNA", at positions 1946 to 2570 of the family's 2925-position model. Lineage: Eukaryota; Metazoa; Cnidaria; Hydrozoa; Anthoathecata; Milleporidae. The record is from RNAcentral.
CCGUGAUAACGUAGCAUAAUCAUUCGCCACCUAAUUAGUGGAUAGUAUGAAUGGUAAAACGAGUAUAACACUCUCUCAGAAGGAAGUCUUAUGAAAUUGGAGUGGUAGUCAAGAUACUACCUAAAACUGUAAGACGAAAAGACCCUAUAGAGCUUAACUAUACCUUUCUCACAAAAUUAAGUUCACUUAAGUUCCAGAAAGAUUGGUAGUUUAGUUGGGGCGACUGCUUUCUAGUAAAAACGAAAGCAAGCAAUAUUAAUUAUCUAAUUUACUGUCUAAUCUAUAUGUUUAACAGUUAUAAAAAUAGGCAAUAAUGACCCGUUAGUAAUAAAAAACACUACUAACGAACAAUAAAUAAAAGCUACCUUAGGGAUAACAGGAUAAUCUUGUUCUAGAGACCCUAUCGAAAACAAGGUUUGUCACCUCUAUGUUGAAUUAAGAUAUCCUAGAAGUGUAGAAGCUUCUGAGG